RNAcentral lists this long non-coding RNA (1199 nucleotides) under Sus scrofa (pig). RNAcentral's name for it is "lncRNA (ENSSSCG00030074609.1)". Lineage: Eukaryota; Metazoa; Chordata; Mammalia; Artiodactyla; Suidae. The record is from RNAcentral.
GAGCACGUGGCGGUUGUUGUGGUGCCUCCCGCAGCGGAGCGGGAGAAUGAGUGGCCAAUGAGGAACUUGUCGCUUCGCGGCAAACUAAGGGAGGACCAAUAGUGAGGACCCACGGGGGCCUCCAUGGGGGCGGGGGUAAGAUUACUCCUUAGUCGGUAACCAGGAAUCUAGGCUUCUUGAGACUGAAGGGGCGGGGCCGCGCGAGGCGGAGUGAUGCGAAACCCGGAAUUUGGCCGCCCUGCGCGGUAGGCCCACCUGGGCUGGCCCGCGAUGUGGGCGGUCUUUCUUCCCUCAGAGAACCAGAGCAGCAAAGGAGGUGCAUGGCAGCUUGUCCAAAACUCCUGCACGUCCAGGCCCGGCUGAACCUGCCCGCUCCAUGAGAAGCCACACGAGGGCCUCUGGCAGAGGGUCCGGGUUGGGGACUUGCAACUGCAGUAGGACAAGGGUGCCAAGGCAGGCUGGCGCAAGUUGGCGAGAAAGAGAGGGCCUUGUUAUUUUGGUGGAAAAGAGACACUCCAUUUAUUCAUUUUAAUGAAUAAAGUCAAUCAUUUAUUGAACACCAGCUGCCAGGCAUUGUUCUGGAUGCUGGAAAAAGUGGCCAACAGAAGAUGCUCUCCCUCCUGGUGUAGCCAAGAAGACAGGCACCCAAGAGCUUAUGCUAAAUAAGAGCCAGUGUUUGCUGGGCAGGGUGCUGAUGGAAAUAACAGCCAAGUGGAGGCUGGAGCGUUGGAUAGUGGGCCCCAUGCUACAUGAAGUGAUCUGGAAAACUCUGUGAAGAGGUGAUGCUUGUCACUAUAAGAAGAUCCUUGGGGAGUUCCUGUUCUGAGGCAGCGGAAAUGAAUCCGACUAGGAACCAUGAAAUUGCAGGCAGCAUGUGCCUGUGGAAACAAAGGGGAAGAAGCAGAAAUAAGAUGAGAAACAAGACGACUGCUGGAGGUGGACCUGGUGCCCCCCCCAUCUCCUGGCUCAUGGACCCCACAACUGCGGUGGGUGGGCCUCACUGCAGCUUCAGCCACCCCAUCCCCAGCAGCUGUGUCCCCAGUGGCCCUUCCUGUCUAGGUCAUAGGGUAUUUUUAGCACUGAAUCCGGAACUCACUUGGCAGCAGCUGCUCAUGGCCAGAGCACAAGAACAACAAACUGUCCAGGUGGGCCGUGCGGACCUGCCCUGCAGCAGGAGCGACCUGGGCCUGGCUCUCUGA